Molecule: ribosomal RNA, 636 nt
Filed under: Triticum aestivum (bread wheat)
Lineage: Eukaryota; Viridiplantae; Streptophyta; Magnoliopsida; Poales; Poaceae
Description: partial small subunit ribosomal RNA
Source: RNAcentral
AUGGGGAGGAAGGGUGGAGAGGGAGGAAGGAGGAGAGGUGUUGCGGGCGAUUUGAGGGCCAGCGUUGAAGAUGCCCCAACAUUAACAUUUGUAAAUGACACAAAAACUGAAAUUGCUGCCAGACGGUUUCGUUAUCGAUGGUUCAAUGAACCCAGCUUCAAAAACGGACGACACGCACCAAGACGAUCCGAUCCUGCGACAGAUCAUCAGCAGUUCACCGCCUCCGUCGGGUCAACUGUUUGCUUUCCAUUUUUCCUUUGCAAAAAGUCCACUAUUUUUCCUUAUCUGAACAACACAGCGCGUGAAAUCUUUCCUACGAGGAAUAGAUUACUCAUCAAUGGACUAAAUCGAAUCCGCCGCCCCCCACCACCACCGCCACCGCGAGAGGAAGAAGACGACUUCCUCCCCCAGCCGUCGUGGCGAGCUGGCGAGGGGCUACGCGGCGCUACGCCUAUGCGCACACCCGGCCGGAAAAUCAGCUGCAGAUUCAUUUUCGAGCCUUGCCCGGCCGCCGCGCCGGCCGUCGCCAUCGGCGCCGCUUCAAAUCCAUGGCUUUUUUUACGCUUUCCUCGCCAGCGGCUCCUGCGUAGUCCUUUGCCACGCCUGACGCCGCCCCCCACCCAAACCCCCCUUUAA